GUAGGUGGCAAGCGUUGUCCGGAAUUAUUGGGCGUAAAGCGCGCGCAGGCGGGGUUCGUUUAAGUCUGAUGUGAAAGCCCACGGGCUCAACCGUGGAGGGUCAUUGGAAACUGGAGAACUUGAGUACAGAAGAGGAAAGCGGAAUUCCACGUGUAGCGGUGAAAUGCGUAGAGAUGUGGAGGAACACCAGUGGCGAAGGCGGCUUUCUGGUCUGUAACUGACGCUGAGGCGCGAAAGCGUGGGGAGCAAACAGGAUUAGAUACCCUGGUAGUCCACGCCGUAAACGAUGAGUGCUAAGUGUUAGGGGGUUUCCGCCCCUUAGUGCUGCAGCUAACGCAUUAAGCACUCCGCCUGGGGAGUACGGCCGCAAGGCUG
This 375-nucleotide ribosomal RNA is filed under the name uncultured organism. Its description in RNAcentral is "partial 16S ribosomal RNA". It matches the Rfam family "Bacterial small subunit ribosomal RNA", at positions 527 to 896 of the family's 1533-position model. The record is from RNAcentral.